ACGCAUAUGCCAUUUGUCCUAAAG
This 24-nucleotide non-coding RNA is filed under the name Arabidopsis thaliana (thale cress). Lineage: Eukaryota; Viridiplantae; Streptophyta; Magnoliopsida; Brassicales; Brassicaceae. The record is from RNAcentral.